RNAcentral lists this long non-coding RNA (201 nucleotides) under Lupinus angustifolius (narrow-leaved blue lupine). RNAcentral's name for it is "long non-coding RNA (LANG_LNC001572)". The record is from RNAcentral. Lineage: Eukaryota; Viridiplantae; Streptophyta; Magnoliopsida; Fabales; Fabaceae.
UGUGGCCAAAUAAAAUCUUCUUGAUGUUGCUUUAAGAAUAAUAAAUAAUAUUUUGUUGAUCCCUAGAAGUUGCUAAAUGCUUUACAUAUACUCCUACUUCAGUUGCAUUUGAUAUGGAUAUAUAAAUCAAUAUCCUUCUCCCAGAUGUUAUAGUUCAGAUGCUUUUGCCAAAUCAGGAAAAAUAAAAUGCAGAGUGGGGCC